RNAcentral lists this ribosomal RNA (465 nucleotides) under Vreelandella stevensii. RNAcentral's name for it is "partial 16S ribosomal RNA". It matches the Rfam family "Bacterial small subunit ribosomal RNA", at positions 338 to 795 of the family's 1533-position model. Lineage: Bacteria; Pseudomonadati; Pseudomonadota; Gammaproteobacteria; Oceanospirillales; Halomonadaceae. The record is from RNAcentral.
CCUACGGGCGGCUGCAGUGGGGAAUAUUGGACAAUGGGCGAAAGCCUGAUCCAGCCAUGCCGCGUGUGUGAAGAAGGCCUUCGGGUUGUAAAGCACUUUCAGUGGGGAAGAAAGCCUUGGGGCUAAUACCCUCGAGGAAGGACAUCACCCACAGAAGAAGCACCGGCUAACUCCGUGCCAGCAGCCGCGGUAAUACGGAGGGUGCGAGCGUUAAUCGGAAUUACUGGGCGUAAAGCGCGCGUAGGCGGUCUGAUAAGCCGGUUGUGAAAGCCCCGGGCUCAACCUGGGAACGGCAUCCGGAACUGUCAGGCUAGAGUGCAGGAGAGGAAGGUAGAACUCCCGGUGUAGCGGUGAAAUGCGUAGAGAUCGGGAGGAAUACCAGUGGCGAAGGCGGCCUUCUGGACUGACACUGACGCUGAGGUGCGAAAGCGUGGGUAGCAAACAGGAUUAGAUACCCUGGUAGUC